This 74-nucleotide transfer RNA is filed under the name Candidatus Liberibacter sp. Guangxi_Guilin_China. Its description in RNAcentral is "tRNA-Met". It matches the Rfam family "tRNA". Rfam says of the family: Transfer RNA (tRNA) molecules are approximately 80 nucleotides in length. The record is from RNAcentral. Lineage: Bacteria; Pseudomonadati; Pseudomonadota; Alphaproteobacteria; Hyphomicrobiales; Rhizobiaceae.
CGCGGGGUGGAGCAGUCUGGUAACUCGUCAGGCUCAUAACCUGAAGGUCGUGGGUUCGAAUCCCACCUCCGCAA